Molecule: ribosomal RNA, 274 nt
Filed under: uncultured bacterium
Lineage: Bacteria
Description: partial 16S ribosomal RNA
Rfam family: Bacterial small subunit ribosomal RNA
Source: RNAcentral
AUACGGAGGGUGCAAGCGUUAUUCGGAAUCACUGGGCGUAAAGGACGCGUAGGCGGGUUGGCAAGUCAGAUGUGAAAUCCUACAGCUUAACUGUAGAAUUGCAUUUGAAACUGCUAACCUAGAGUAUGGGAGGGGGAGAUGGAAUUAGUGGUGUAGGGGUAAAAUCCGUAGAUAUCACUAGGAAUACCGAAAGCGAAGGCGAUCUCCUGGAACAUAACUGACGCUAAGGCGUGAAAGCGUGGGGAGCAAACAGGAUUAGAAACCCUAGUAGUCC